GUGAAUUAAGCGGUCUGUGUUGAGCGACAUGAAUUCCUUUACCGCGUGGCGUUCCAAAGGCGAUUCUCACCCGGGUGUUGCCUGUGCUGUGGCUCUCCUCUAUGCCCAAGAAACAGGUCUGCAUCCAGGCUUGGUGGGAAUUUCCACUACAGAAAGAGAAUCAAAUACCCCAGCCACUAUGCCAUGAAAUGCAACCUCUGGCUUCGCAACCUCUGUGAGUUGCUGAAUUCUUCCUUCCAAGUUGCUCGCCAACUACCAGACUCUCUGCGCAAGAUCAGCCAUCGCCAUUGUCCUCGUCUCUGAAAAUUGUUCUGUCAAUGAAAUGAUCUACCAUGAAGGACAUCUGUGGAAACACAGUCUGUGACGAGAGCCCAUGAAUAAUUUCCACGUGCUCCUGCCAGUCUUUUAAGCUGCGCGUCCUUGAGUCACAGAGACAUGGCUGGGCAGCUGAAAGUGUCACCGAGUAUUCCGUGGACACCACAGUUCACUCAAGUGUUAACUGCUCACAAGGAUACACAGCCAGCCUCCCCCAAACAUGAGGCGAUCCAACUGUGUUCUUCCCAUGAGAAGCCAAAGGCAUCUCUCCCCAAGCACAAAGUAGUAAAGAGCCCUGGAUGCCUGGUUCCUAUUCCUGGGAGCGUAUGCAAUUACUCUGUCACCCUGGUGGCCAACGCUGACUGUCCUAUCAGCAUGACUCCUGAUUAUCAGCUCCCCAUCUGCAUGAAAGUAAAAGCCAGCUCAUCCUAUUCACCGGCUCCGAAUCCUCCACUGGCUUCCCCUUUCACUAGAAUAAAACCCUAA
This 801-nucleotide long non-coding RNA is filed under the name Sus scrofa (pig). RNAcentral describes it as "lncRNA (ENSSSCG00070000935.1)". The record is from RNAcentral. Lineage: Eukaryota; Metazoa; Chordata; Mammalia; Artiodactyla; Suidae.